Non-coding RNA from Populus trichocarpa (black cottonwood), 137 nucleotides. Lineage: Eukaryota; Viridiplantae; Streptophyta; Magnoliopsida; Malpighiales; Salicaceae. The record is from Rfam.
UAAUAUAUUUUAGACAGAUCUUUAUCUAAAUAUGAUAGAACUAUACUUACCUAUUCAAAAUCACUUAUUAUAAAAACUCGUCUGCUUCAUAUGAGAUUCCGCGAUGUAUCAAACACAGUAUUGCUAGUGACUUCAUA